RNAcentral lists this ribosomal RNA (292 nucleotides) under uncultured bacterium. RNAcentral's name for it is "partial 16S ribosomal RNA". It matches the Rfam family "Bacterial small subunit ribosomal RNA", at positions 505 to 796 of the family's 1533-position model. The record is from RNAcentral.
GUGCCAGCAGCCGCGGUAAUACGUAGGGGGCAAGCGUUGUCCGGAAUCAUUGGGCGUAAAGCGCGUGUAGGCGGUUCGAUAAGUCUGCUGUGAAAGUCCAGGGCUCAACCCUGGAAAGCCGGUGGAUACUGUCGGACUAGAGUGCGGAAGAGGCGAGUGGAAUUCCCGGUGUAGCGGUGAAAUGCGCAGAUAUCGGGAGGAACACCAAUUGCGAAGGCAGCUCGCUGGGACGUUACUGACGCUGAGACGCGAAAGCGUGGGGAGCAAACAGGAUUAGAAACCCCGGUAGUCC